This 494-nucleotide ribosomal RNA is filed under the name Yarrowia parophoni. RNAcentral's name for it is "partial 26S ribosomal RNA". It matches the Rfam family "Eukaryotic large subunit ribosomal RNA", at positions 74 to 654 of the family's 3401-position model. The record is from RNAcentral. Lineage: Eukaryota; Fungi; Ascomycota; Dipodascomycetes; Dipodascales.
AUUGCCUCAGUAACGGCGAGUGAAGCGGCAAAAGCUCAAAUUUGAAACCUUCGGGAUUGUAAUUUGAAGAUUUGGCAUUGGAGAAAGCUAACCCAAGUUACUUGGAAUAGUACGUCAUAGAGGGUGACAACCCCGUCUGGCUAACCGUUCUCCAUGUAUUGCCUUAUCAAAGAGUCGAGUUGUUUGGGAAUGCAGCUCAAAGUGGGUGGUAAACUCCAUCUAAAGCUAAAUACUGGUGAGAGACCGAUAGCGAACAAGUACUGUGAAGGAAAGGUGAAAAGAACUUUGAAAAGAGAGUGAAAUAGUAUGUGAAAUUGUUGAUAGGGAAGGAAAUGAGCGGAGAGUGGUUGAGGUUUCAGCGCACCCUUGGGUGCGUGUAUUGCCGACGCCGAGUCAUUGACAGCGAGACGGGGGCUACAAACAGGUUGCUCUUGAGCUUCCCACCUAUCCCCCCCACUGCCGCCAACGACAUAAUCCGCCCAUUUCACCCGUCU